Rattus norvegicus (Norway rat) is the source of this 856-nucleotide non-coding RNA. The record is from RefSeq and is a predicted model, not a curated record. Lineage: Eukaryota; Metazoa; Chordata; Mammalia; Rodentia; Muridae.
UGUGGUUAUUAAACCCGGGGUCACUCCCCUAAAGAAAACAGAUUUCCCCGCUCCUGGCCAAGAAGUUCCUCAUGGAACUUUGUACCCACUUCCCCUCCUUCUCACAAGGAUUUAAACUCUCUAUUUCUAGUGGGUUGUUUCAGGGGGCUGAUGAGAUACAUACUACACAAGCACAAGACUCUGAAUUGGGCCCCCAACACCCAUGUAAAAUCGGGGCAAUUUGUAUCUGUAACCCGAGUGUUAGAGGGCAGAUGUAGGCAGGUCCUGGGGACUCACUUUUCAACUAGACUAACACACACAAAUAGAAAAACCGCCAGUGUAAGUCUACAACGUCACUUGUAUUGAAAAAUAAUUUCCCAGCCCUGUGCAUCCCCCACAGAGCCUUCAGCCUUCUCUCCUAUUAUCUUAAAUUAACAAUGUAACAAAUCAAUAAAUGUUAACAAUGUAAAUUCCGCCCCUCCGAAGUGUAUGCUCCGUUGAGUAGAGGCUGCAGAGGGAGAGUCCUGAGACUCAGACCAUUAGGAAAUCGUUAAGCUGUUGAUCUCUUGUGGCCUGCUCCCUCUCUACAGCAAUAAAUCACCUGUCUGCUCAGCACCUCAAGGGUUCCAGGAAUGUGUGAUCACCAGACUCUUCCACCAUUGCUGAUUCUCUACAGGAGUAAAUGCCCUGGACAACCGGGAGGACUUGUUGACAGUCAAGGCCACACAAACGCUAUGCCAAUUGAGGUGCAUCAUCUCUCCUUUAUACUAGUUUCCACCCUUUGAGCGGAGCAUGCUUCCCAGAGAAGAGGUACCAAAGCCCCCAGAGAUUGUGACCUGUGGGUGUAACAGCCAAAUAAAGAUCUCCAAUAAGCCAA